Molecule: ribosomal RNA, 301 nt
Filed under: uncultured bacterium
Lineage: Bacteria
Description: partial 16S ribosomal RNA
Rfam family: Bacterial small subunit ribosomal RNA
Source: RNAcentral
CAGUAGCCACGGGAAUACGUAGGGUGCGAGCGUUAAUCGGAAUUACUGGGCGUAAAGCGUGCGCAGGCGGUUCGUUAAGACAGAUGUGAAAUCCCCGGGCUUAACCUGGGAACUGCAUUUGUGACUGGCGAGCUAGAGUAUGGCAGAGGGGGGUAGAACUCCACGUGUAGCAGUGAAAUGCGUAGAGAUGUGGAGGAAUACCGAUGGCGAAGGCAGCCCCCUGGGCCAAUACUGACGCUCAUGCACGGAAGCGUGGGGAGCGAACAGGAUUAGAUACCCCCGUAGUCCCUGUCUCUUAUAC